UACGUAGGGUGCAAGCGUUGUCCGGAAUUAUUGGGCGUAAAGAGCUCGUAGGCGGUUUGUCGCGUCUGCUGUGAAAACCCGGAGCUCAACUCCGGACCUGCAUCCGAAACUGCCCGACUAGAGGUAGGUAGGGGAGAUCGGAAUUCCUGGUGUAGCGGUGAAAUGCGCAGAUAUCAGGAGGAACACCGGUGGCGAAGGCGGAUCUCUGGGCCUUACCUGACGCUCAGGUGCGAAAGCGUGGGGAGCAAACAGG
This 253-nucleotide ribosomal RNA is filed under the name uncultured bacterium. Its description in RNAcentral is "partial 16S ribosomal RNA". It matches the Rfam family "Bacterial small subunit ribosomal RNA", at positions 524 to 776 of the family's 1533-position model. The record is from RNAcentral.